CCCUUAGACGUUCUGGGCCGCACGCGCGCUACACUGAACAGUUCAACAAGUCUUAACCUUGGCCGAUAGGUCUGGGUAAUCUUUGAACGCUGUUCGUGAUUGGGAUAGACCUUUGCAAUUAUGGGUCUUCAACGAGGAAUUCCUAGUAAACGCAAGUCAUCAGCUUGCAUUGAUUACGUCCCUGCCCUUUGUACACACCGCCCGUCGCACCUACCGAUUGAAUGGUCCGGUGAAAUCUCGGGACGGCGGCUUGGUCGCUUGCGUCCGACUGCUGAAACUUGAUUAAACCAUAUCAUUUAGAGGAAGGUGAAGCCGUAACA
Molecule: ribosomal RNA, 320 nt
Filed under: uncultured eukaryote
Lineage: Eukaryota
Description: partial 18S ribosomal RNA
Rfam family: Eukaryotic small subunit ribosomal RNA
Source: RNAcentral